AGGGCAACAGCGCAGAUCGUCAGCUAAGGUCCCUAAAAGUAAGUUAAGUGGUAAAGGAGGUGGGCUUGCACAGACAACCAGGAUGUUGGCUUAGAAGCAGCCACUCAUUCAAAGAGUGCGUAAUAGAGCGCUGGUCGAGUGAUCCUGCGCCGAAGAUUUCCGGGGCUAGAAGUUACUACCGAGGCUACGGAAUCAGUAAUG
Molecule: ribosomal RNA, 201 nt
Filed under: Clostridioides difficile
Lineage: Bacteria; Bacillati; Bacillota; Clostridia; Peptostreptococcales; Peptostreptococcaceae
Description: partial 23S ribosomal RNA
Rfam family: Bacterial large subunit ribosomal RNA
Source: RNAcentral